RNAcentral lists this ribosomal RNA (536 nucleotides) under uncultured bacterium. Its description in RNAcentral is "bacterial SSU rRNA". It matches the Rfam family "Bacterial small subunit ribosomal RNA", at positions 336 to 864 of the family's 1533-position model. The record is from RNAcentral.
CUCCUACGGGAGGCAGCAGUGGGGAAUUUUGGACAAUGGGGGCAACCCUGAUCCAGCCAUUCCGCGUGAGUGAAGAAGGCCAUCGGGUUGUAAAGCUCUUUUGUCGGGGACGAAACGGUUUCACCUAAUACGUGAGACUACUGACGGUACCCGAAGAAUAAGCACCGGCUAACUACGUGCCAGCAGCCGCGGUAAUACGUAGGGUGCGAGCGUUAAUCGGAAUUACUGGGCGUAAAGCGUGCGCAGGCGGUUUUGUAAGCCAGAUGUGAAAUCCCCGGGCUCAACCUGGGAAUGGCAUUUGGGACUGCAAGGCUGGAGUAUGGCAGAGGGGACUAGAAUUCCUGGUGUAGCAGUGAAAUGCGUAGAUAUCAGGAGGAAUACCGAUGGCGAAGGCAGGUCCCUGGGCCAAUACUGACGCUCAUGCACGAAAGCGUGGGGAGCAAACAGGAUUAGAUACCCUGGUAGUCCACGCCCUAAACGAUGUCAACUGGUUGUUGGGGGAUUUAUUCUCUUAGUAACGAAGCUAACGCGUGAAG